AUAAAUUUGAGAUUGUUGAUUAUGAUAAUGAUGAAGAGGUUCGGAAAUAAGUCAAUAAAAAGUGUAAAACUCUUUACAAAAGUUGGCAUAACAAGAUGAAGUCUCAUUACUCAAAGUUGGUAGAUGCUGGUGUUGACCCUUAUAGUAAACCAUACAAAGGGGUCGAUUAUAAGGCUUGGAUAUACAUGAUCAAUCAUGUAUGGUUUGAUGGCGAUCAUCAGAACUUGGCUGAAAAAGCAAGGGAUAGUCGAUUGAGGUUACCAUAUAAUCAUACAAUGGGCUCCAAGUCAUUUCAAGCUGCAAUGUGAAAACAGGGUACCGAGAAGACUGACAUUGUAGACUUCUACAAAGAUUCUCAUUGGAGUAAGAGAAAGUCGGAUUGGGUAGCCCUAAUAUGUGGUCAAUUACAUGAAGCUUUGAAAAAGUGACGUGAAGAGUCUUUAGAGCCUAGGGCAGUACCUUUAACUCAAGAGCAGCUUUUAAUUGAGGUUCUUGGAAGGAAAUCGGGAUACUUAAAAGGCGUUAGAGUUGGUCCAAAACCAUCCUCAUCCAACUCUUCUAUUAGUGCACAAGCACAUAUUAAGGUGGUUUCGAGCCUACAAAAACAACUAGAGUCAUUGAAGAAUUUGUCCGAGGUCCAGCAAGAACAAAUUGCAGCCCAGAACCUGAUAGCACAAGAGCAAGCUAAAAUGAUUGAAAUGCAAAACAAAAGAUUUGAAGAGAUUGAGAAGUUUAUGAGGAUGCACAAGGAUCGGGCAGACAUGCAGGUUGAUGAAGAUGAUUAUCCAUUAGAGGAAUCUUAUUGACAAGCACUUUUAUUAGCAAUGGUGAAAAAUAGUUCAGGCUGCAUCAGAAGAUUUGAUUUUGUGUUUUUGGAUAUAUUUUGACAUAGGAUUUUGGUAAAUGACUUAGGGGUAAGAUAUUUAGCAUCAAAAUAUUUAGUUGUGUUUUUGCAAAUAUUUUGACAUAGGAUUUUGGUAAAUGACUUGUGGGUUAGAUGUUUAACAUCAAAAUAUUUGGUUUUGUAUUUUUUAAAAUAUUUUAACAUAGGAUUUGGUAAUGGAUUUGUGGGUUUGAUGUUAAUAGUUUGUAAGUACUUUGGUAUGAAUGUUUCAAAUUGCUAGAGAAUUGUAAUUAUGUUUAUUGGA
Camellia sinensis is the source of this 1148-nucleotide non-coding RNA. The record is from RefSeq and is a predicted model, not a curated record. NCBI's taxonomy places the organism in Eukaryota, Viridiplantae, Streptophyta, Magnoliopsida, Ericales, Theaceae.